RNAcentral lists this long non-coding RNA (1182 nucleotides) under Zostera marina. RNAcentral's name for it is "long non-coding RNA (ZMAR_LNC004143)". The record is from RNAcentral. Lineage: Eukaryota; Viridiplantae; Streptophyta; Magnoliopsida; Alismatales; Zosteraceae.
UCAGACCAGAGUACUACUGGGAAAAUUGUCGUCACCCUUUGGAGGACACUACGCUUCAGAUGUGAGAGACCAAUCUCUUGAGGCAGUCUAUCUAGUCAAUUAUCAUUAGGUAGCAUAGUCAGUAAAGGGUAAAUGGGGUCAAUAAACUCAUUUCCCUUUUUAUCUUUUUGUUUUCUCCAAUGUAACCCGGACAUUUUUUUGAAGCAGUUAAGUUUCUCGUUAAUAAAAAUGGACAUUGCCCUGGAAAUACAAUGGAGUUCAGUAAAAAAAUAAAAACUUGGUUAUAAGCACUAGACUCAUCUUGACACUUUUCAGUCAGUCAUAUUGCCUAAUAAGGAUUAGGUUGUCUGCCUCAGGAGGUUGGUCUCCCAUAUUUGUAUCGUGCUAGUCUCCCAUAUUUGUAUUUGUCUUGAAGCAUUUAGGCAUGAAGGAGAUGCUCAUGUCAUUGGUGACCUGUUUCAGAAUUGUUUCUGGUGACCUGAGUGUUUGUUGUUUCCAUUUGCGCUUUCUUUCUUCCCAGAUGUGCAAACAUAAAGAUCCGAUCAUGUUCCAUAGUAGACCCCAAAUUGGAGAGUGAUGUGUUAGUUUCUGAUAGGCCUCAGUGAGGUCCCCUAACAUGAUGUCUGGAUGGUUUGUGGUGGGUGUGGCUAUGUUGAGUAUUUUCCAGAAAAUAUUAUUUAGGCUUUCAACUAUGGGUAAAAGAAUGGCUCUAGUAUAACUGUGUAAGUGCAAUUGAAGAAUAGGUGAGCUCUAAUUUCAUCUUAUAUGUUGCAUAACAGACAUGUGGGCUGGAUGGGCAUGCCCCACCCAUUCAGUAGAAUAGAGACAUUUAGGUGACUCAAUUUUAUUUUCCAUAGAAAAAUUGAAAAUUAUGUCGGUUUGUGAGCCCAUAAUUCCAUAUUCCGUCAACUAAGUUAUCCUUCUGCUUUCGUCUCUAAUUUCCUCACACAUUGAUGUAAGUUUCUUAUUUGGGCUUCCAUUUCUCCAGAAGGUUGUGUGGUUUGGGCCACAUUCAUGAUUCAACCAAUGCACUGGCUUUAGUCCUAUUCCCCAUCACAUAUUUUCAGAAAUGAGGUCUAUGGAGUUUUUUAUUUGUAUAUCAAUAAGGGUUUUUCAUUUUACAUAUAUCUCUUGUAUCCAGCCAGAUAGAAUCAUAGAAUGGACUCAAUGAAGUCAAAUUUC